Molecule: ribosomal RNA, 315 nt
Filed under: uncultured bacterium
Lineage: Bacteria
Description: bacterial SSU rRNA
Rfam family: Bacterial small subunit ribosomal RNA
Source: RNAcentral
UGUAAGUCAGAUGUGAAAUCCCUGGGCUCAACCUGGGAACUGCAUUUGAAACUGCAUGGCUAGAGUAUGGUAGAGGGAAGUGGAAUUUCCGGUGUAGCGGUGAAAUGCGUAGAUAUCGGAAGGAACACCAGUGGCGAAAGCGACUUCCUGGACCAAUACUGACGUUCAUGUGCGAAAGCGUGGGGAGCAAACAGGAUUAGAUACCCUGGUAGUCCACGCCAUAAACGAUGACAACUAGAUGUUGGGAGGGUCUGCCUCUCGGUGUCGCAGCUAACGCGUUAAGUUGUCCGCCUGGGGAGUACGGCCGCAAGGUUG